UACGUAGGGUGCAAGCGUUAAUCGGAAUUACUGGGCGUAAAGCGUGCGCAGGCGGUUGUGCAAGACAGAUGUGAAAUCCCCGGGCUCAACCUGGCAAUUGCAUUUGUGACUGCACGGCUAGAGUGUGUCAGAGGGGGGUAGAAUUCCACGUGUAGCAGUGAAAUGCGUAGAGAUGUGGAGGAAUACCGAUGGCGAAGGCAGCCCCCUGGGAUAACACUGACGCUCAUGCACGAAAGCGUGGGGAGCAAACAGG
RNAcentral lists this ribosomal RNA (253 nucleotides) under uncultured bacterium. RNAcentral's name for it is "partial 16S ribosomal RNA". It matches the Rfam family "Bacterial small subunit ribosomal RNA", at positions 524 to 776 of the family's 1533-position model. The record is from RNAcentral.